GACGAACGCUGGCGGCGUGCUUAACACAUGCAAGUCGAACGGAAAGGCCCUGCUUUUGUGGGGUGCUCGAGUGGCGAACGGGUGAGUAACACGUGAGUAACCUGCCCUUGACUUUGGGAUAACUUCAGGAAACUGGGGCUAAUACCGGAUAGGAGCUCCUGCUGCAUGGUGGGGGUUGGAAAGUUUCGGCGGUUGGGGAUGGACUCGCGGCUUAUCAGCUUGUUGGUGGGGUAGUGGCUUACCAAGGCUUUGACGGGUAGCCGGCCUGAGAAGGUGACCGGCCACAGUGGGACUGGGAAACGGCCCAGACUCCUGCGGGAGGAAACAGGGUGGAAUAUUUCACAAUGGGCGGAAGCCUGAUGCAGCAACGCCGCGUGCUGGAUGAAGGCCUUCGGGUUGUAAACCGCGUUCGCCUGUGAAGAAGCGUGGGUGACGGUAAUGGGUAAAGAAGCGCCGGCUAACUACGUG
This 468-nucleotide ribosomal RNA is filed under the name uncultured bacterium. RNAcentral describes it as "partial 16S ribosomal RNA". It matches the Rfam family "Bacterial small subunit ribosomal RNA", at positions 28 to 507 of the family's 1533-position model. The record is from RNAcentral.